RNAcentral lists this transfer RNA (70 nucleotides) under bovine gut metagenome. It matches the Rfam family "tRNA". From Rfam's summary of the family: Transfer RNA (tRNA) molecules are approximately 80 nucleotides in length. The record is from RNAcentral.
CCGAUAUAGCUCAGUUGGUAGAGCAACUCAUUCGUAAUGAGUAGGUCGCGGGUUCGAAUCCCACUAUCGG